AUGACCCUGGACUUGAGCGGCGACGUCCUCUCCAAAGGCGUGCUCGUCCUCCCGGAGCCUGCCGAACCUGCCGCUUUCCGGCGGAUGACAGAGCUGAGCCUCUCGAAUGUGCGUCUGCAGGUGCAGCCAGACAGGCUUGGCGAGUUCUUGUCAUCAUGCUUCCCGCAGCUGAGGAAGCUGCGCCUUCGCAAAGUUUGCAAUGUGGCCGCAGAGCCGAGACUGUGGCCACUGAUGCUCGACAUGGACAUGCUCGAGGAGCUAGAGGUCGACAGCAUCCACCAACUAACGAUGCUGCAGGUGGUGGCUGCCAAACUCCGGCUGCUGAUCGUGAGACACUGCUUCGAGAGUCUGGCGGUGCUCCGCGCCGACAUCGUGUUCAAGGUCUCCGCGCCGGGGCUGGAGGCGAUCAGCUGGACCGGCUGGUUCCCGAAGCAGCUGAACUUCCUACCCGACGCGCAAUGUGUCCGUCGACUGUCCGGCAUCAUCGUCAACUGGCCCAGCAUAUCGUGGGCUGACUACUGUUUGCCGGGUGUCAUGCAGUUGCUCGAGACAUGCUCUGGAGCUGACCGGCUAGAUCUUUGUGUCGACAUCUAUGAUGGAUGGGUUCCAUCCAUGGUAUCAAAACAGGAUUUCAUGGAACGCAUGCCACACCUUCCCAACAUCAGGGCACUCUCCCUGACGAUCGUCACGAUUCUCCGAAUGCUCCGCUCUCCAAUUGGUGAAAUUGUCUUCUGCUUCCUUAGGCGAUGCCCGAACCUAACUCUGCUUCACAUCGACCUAUCGACGCUGCACCAGUUUACAAGGCAGGAGCCGCAUUAUCUUGUGUUUCCGGAUGAUGAUGCUGAAACUAAAGCUGCAAAGCCAUGUCAAGACCGUGAAUAUGAUCCGCCUAAAGCACACAAAUAUCAAUUGCAACUAGGCUCUCUUCGAAAGAUAAGAAUCAGUGGCUUUGCCGGAACGGAUGCUGAGAUGGAGCCGAGCGGUCGGCGCUCGAGGGGAUAUCUAUAUCAUCAUUUGCACAGCUGA
This 1026-nucleotide ribosomal RNA is filed under the name Triticum aestivum (bread wheat). RNAcentral's name for it is "partial small subunit ribosomal RNA". Lineage: Eukaryota; Viridiplantae; Streptophyta; Magnoliopsida; Poales; Poaceae. The record is from RNAcentral.